Molecule: ribosomal RNA, 509 nt
Filed under: uncultured bacterium
Lineage: Bacteria
Description: bacterial SSU rRNA
Rfam family: Bacterial small subunit ribosomal RNA
Source: RNAcentral
UACUUGGCUCAGGAUGAACGCUAGCGGCAGGCUUAACACAUGCAAGUCGAGGGGCAUCGGGAGUAGCAAUACUGCCGGCGACCGGCGCAAGGGUGCGUAACGCGUGAGCAACAUGCCCGUAUCAGGGGGAUAAUCCAUGGAAACGUGGUCUAAUACCCCAUAGUAAUUAUGUAAGGCAUCUUAUAUAAUUUAAAGCUUUGGUGGAUACGGAUUGGCUCGCGUGACAUUAGCUAGAUGGUAAGGUAACGGCUUACCAUGGCUACGAUGUCUAGGGGUUCUGAGAGGAAGGUCCCCCCACACUGGAACUGAGACACGGUCCAGACUCCUACGGGAGGCAGCAGUGAGGAAUAUUGGACAAUGGAUGGAAAUCUGAUCCAGCCAUGCCGCGUGCAGGAAAAGACGGCCCUAUGGGUUGUAAACUGCUUUUGUAUGGGAGCAAUAAGGGCUACGCGUAGUCCGAUGAGAGUACCAUACGAAUAAGCACCGGCUAACUCCGUGCCAGCCGCAGC